GGGGUAUUAGCUCAGUUGGUAGAGCAGCUGACUCUUAAUCAGCGGGUCGGGGGUUCGAAUCCCUCAUGCCCCA
RNAcentral lists this transfer RNA (73 nucleotides) under Bacillus sp. (in: firmicutes). RNAcentral's name for it is "Bacillus sp. (in: Bacteria) tRNA-Lys". It matches the Rfam family "tRNA". From Rfam's summary of the family: Transfer RNA (tRNA) molecules are approximately 80 nucleotides in length. Their secondary structure includes four short double-helical elements and three loops (D, anti-codon, and T loops). Further hydrogen bonds mediate the characteristic L-shaped molecular structure. tRNAs have two regions of fundamental functional importance: the anti-codon, which is responsible for specific mRNA codon recognition, and the 3' end, to which the tRNAs corresponding amino acid is attached (by aminoacyl-tRNA synthetases). tRNAs cope with the degeneracy of the genetic code in two manners: having more than one tRNA (with a specific anti-codon) for a particular amino acid; and 'wobble' base-pairing, i.e. permitting non-standard base-pairing at the 3rd anti-codon position. The record is from RNAcentral. Lineage: Bacteria; Bacillati; Bacillota; Bacilli; Caryophanales; Bacillaceae. RNAcentral also lists the same sequence under 1 other name.